This 900-nucleotide long non-coding RNA is filed under the name Homo sapiens (human). RNAcentral describes it as "non-protein coding LINC-PINT:92". The record is from RNAcentral. Lineage: Eukaryota; Metazoa; Chordata; Mammalia; Primates; Hominidae.
CGCCCACCGCGCGGAGGACAACUUUUAGCCGGCAGCCCAGACCAGCGCGGCACCUGUCUCCGGAGUCUCCACCGCUCCUCCCGAUUCAUCCCAGGGAAAUUCUCAAGAAUACGCUCUACAAAUCUACGUGCGCAUCAUUUUCACCUCGCGUCGCGCCCGGGAGGAAGGAACGAGGCAAGGAGCUAAAGCAGCGUGCGUUCAGCCCUGGGGCAUUUUAUUAAUGCUUUUACGAGUUAGAAGAGUUGGGAUAAUUUGCCAUCUGGAGUUUCUCUGCCUUGCUGAUCUGAGCUCAGACCUGCCAAUUUACCAGAGAUAAUUGAUAACACCCUGUAACAGCUGAGUAAGUAGAUUCUUCUGUUUUACUGCUUUUAAAAAAAGUUUAAAGUUUUAAAAUAGUAUAAACUUUAAUUGGGUUCUUUAAAUUUUGUUGUUGAAUAAUGCAAUUAUUAUGAUAUUUUGUGAAUAUUUGUAAAUAAUGGGAUUCUGGAAUAAAUUAAUCCCCGAUGAUAGAAAAGAGUUAAUGAACACUUUCUCCAUACAUAACACUUUAGCAUUCAAGAAACAUAGGACUUAAAUACAUAUAUUAAAAAUUUAGGCCAGGUGCAGUGGCUCACGCCUGUAAUCCCAGCACUUUGGGAGGCUGAGGCGGGCAGAUCACCUGAGGUCAGGAGUUUGAGACCAGCCUAGCCAACAUGGUGAAAUCCCAUCUCGGCUAAAAAUGCAAAAAUUAGCCAGGCAUGGUGGCAGGUGCCUGUAAUCCCAGCUACUCUGGAGGCUGAGGCAGGAGAAUCACUUGAACCUGGGAGGCAGAGGUUGCAGUGAGCUGAGACUGUGCCACUGCACUCCAGUCUGGGCGACAGAGAGGCUCUGUCUCAAAAAAAAAAAAAAAAAAAAAAAAAA